AGAAAUCAAAAACCGAUUGGGGAAAAACAAGAAUAACAUCAGCAGGGCAAUACGAACAUUUUACUGGAAAUGAAUGUGGCAUUGACGAAACUUUGGAAAUAAAGGACGAAAUUAUUGAAGAUCACGAUACUGCAGAUCAAAAAUACAACAAAGAACAUGAGUCAAAAUUGUUCGUUGAUAUAAAACAAACUAAGCAUUUGUCUUUUAAAAUUAAACGGCUUAGUCAAAAUAAGAAGAAAAUUCAGGAAUCAGAACAGGAAGCGGUAAAGAAAUACCAAUGCGAAAAGUGUGCUCGGACUUAUAAGUUGAAAAUACUUUUAAAUCGUCAUCGAAAGUUCGAAUGCGGCGUCAACCCACAGUUCAGAUGUAAACUCUGUGACAAACGAUUUAAACAGAAAUGUCAUAUGAAUAACCAUUUUAAUCGCGUGCAUAACAAGACAAACUCAAAUAAACCGGUAUUGAUCCAGCAAUGCGACCAAUGUCCUAGAAGUUACACUUUGCUCAGCAAUUUAAAUCGGCAUAAACUUUUGCAGCACUCAGAAAUUAAACCACAAUUUAUUUGUGACUAUUGUGGCUACAUAACGAAUUCUAAAAGUCACGUGUCAGCGCACAUUACUGCUUCUCACUUGAAGACAUCGGAAACAAAAUAUAAUUGUAACCAAUGCUCGAGACGUUAUACUUGGAUAAGUACUUUGCAUCAGCAUAAACGUUUAGUGCACUCAGGCUUUAAGCCAAAUUUCAUUUGCGACUAUUGUGGUCACAAAACGAAUCGGAAAAAUUGCUUGUCAAAACACAUUACUUUACGCCAUUUGAAAUAAUAAUAGUGGACAUGAAACAUUAAACUUCAGAAGAUUUAUAAUAUUUGUUAAAAAAAACUCAUCACGCCGAAAAAAAUUGUGUUGAGGUUACAGGAUUUUCAGUUACAAUAGGGACAGCAUAGAUUUUCUGUAAAAAUUACAGAAUUUUCUGUAGUUAACGAAAUUUUCAGUUAUUUUCUUUUACGGACAGUUUCUGUAAUAUUUAAUAAACUUUCCUUUUAAAUUAACAUCUUCACAUUGGGAAAUAUAAUAAAAAAGUCUGUAAAUGUUACAGAAAAUAUCCAUGAAUUUAUAAAAUAACUGACAAUUUUGUAAACACUCCAGAAAAUUAAGUAAUCCUUACAGGAAGUCUAUGAUGUCCCUAUUUUAACUGAAAAUCUUGUAACCUUAACAGACUUUUCUUCUACGUGAUUAUUUAGAAUCUCUAAUAAAAUCUCUAAUUCUCUAAUAAACUAAGAAAACUUUCCUUUUUGUAAAAACCAAUAUAUAAUGCUCUAUUUUACUGUUAGAAGGUUCAGCCAGAGUAAAUUUACUCUUGUUGGAAGUAGGCCUGAAUUACGUUUCUUAACAUUGGAAUGUGUUAUUAUACGUUUUAAUCAUUUGGUGAAAUGUAGGAAUAAUUGAAUGGAUUUCUUAUAAUUUUCUUUCUAAUCUUCUAGCAAGUUUUGCUAUUAAGUCAUAAAAUAAAAAUAGUAUUGUAAUAGUUUAUAAUUACGUAAAAAGGUGGGUUGGGGCAUAAACAGGGUCGGGGGCGGUGCCCCAGACAGAUUCAAAACAUCUGAUGAGUUAUAGGUUAUGUAGUAAUCAAAUAUAAAAGAGGCACGGGAAUUUCCGAGUUUUUACUGAUUCUUUUUAAUAUCAAGAGAUGGCGGCAGGCGUUGAUUGGCAUGAAAACAAAAAUUAUUUGCGUUGACAAAAUAUCAAGGACUUCUAUGAAACGCAUGUAUGCCAUAAAAGUAUUAUCCGUUUUUUAUAAAGACCAUCGUGAAAUAUUUUCGUUUCCAUCAUUUAUUUUAAGAAUUUUUUUUAUCGUCGGUAGAUAAAAUUAUUAUUUAUGUGUUUUACAGUUAAUAAAGACCUAUUAAUGCGUUGUGAUUAGUCUAUUUUUUAAAUUCUUUUUAAGGCGUAGGGCAGAAUCCUUUUUUAAAUGCAAUAGAAUACUUAUUCUGCGACAGAGGAUACAAACAAAGUGUUUUACUAUAUGUUAACACGAACAAAGUGUUUUGUAUUAACACGGACGUUUAGAAUAUGCAGGUCUGAAACCACAAUUUAUUUGCGACUAUUGUGGCCACAAAACGAGUGAGGAAAGUUACUUAUCAAUACACAUUACUUCAAGCCAUCUAAAUUAAUAACGUACACAAAACAUAAAACUUUAGGAAAUUUUAAAUAUCGUUUGAAAAACUUAUUUUUUCACAGCAGAUCAAUUAAUUCAGUAAUAAACUGAGAAUAAUUUUCUUUGCAUUACAUUCCAUAGUUGUAUACCUUAAGAUACUUUUCUUAAUAACCAAUAAAUAAUACUCUGCUUUGCUUAUUCAAGGUUUUCUACGAGUAAAUUUACUCUCCUUGGGAGUUGAGAUAAAUUACUUUUCCUAAGAGUGUAAUGUGUAAUGCGUUUUAUUUAUUUGGUAAAAGUGGGUGUUAAUGUAUUAUUUUUUUAACUUUUUGCUUCUGAUCAACUGGCAAGUGCUAUUACUAAAUCAUAAAACAAAAUAAAUCAUUUCCGUUAUUUCUGAAGAGUAUUGUAAAAUGAUUUCGUUUAAAUCAUUUAUGUUAAGAAAAGAAAGGUCAAUGGAUACAGGCGUAAAUGCCAAAUUUCGGAUGUGUUUUAUUUUCAUAAAAUAAUUCAAUCUAACUCAUAUUUCUGUCGAAAAUUAUGUUCCAGGUCGAUUCUGAAGUGGGUUAAAAUUAAAGAUUGGUAUUUUUUGAUAAAGUAACUUUAUUUUUUGCUUGUUAUUUUGACUAUGCAAUACACCUAAGUAAUAGCUCGAAACUACUUUUCUGUUUUUUUAGUAAUUGAAAAAAUAACAAAGUUAUUCAACUCAUGGUUUUAUGAAGCCUAACAGUACCUCGAACCGUUUUUGCAUUUUGUUGCUUAAAAUUAAUUACGGCAAAGUUAUAUAUUUUAUGUUUCUUAUGUAAAACUUAAGUUUUGGCACUUACGCCUGUAUGCAGUGUGGCCCUUUAAAUGUUUAUGUAACUGUAAGUAAAAUUAUUAUAUGUUUCAGAGUUAAUAAUUUACGAGUUAUUCACUGUGUUUGCUGUUUCUUUUAAAUCUGUAAAAAAUGUAGAGCAGGAUUCUUUUGUAAAUAAAAUACAAUAACUGAAAUCUUAAUA
Molecule: long non-coding RNA, 3152 nt
Organism: Belonocnema kinseyi
Lineage: Eukaryota; Metazoa; Arthropoda; Insecta; Hymenoptera; Cynipidae
Exons: 2
Source: RefSeq, a predicted model, not a curated record